UGACCAUCUAGCAAUGGUACCCGACGACCGGAUAGGUCGAAUGUGUAGAACAACAUCCUUAGAAUCCAUGCGGAUAUAGUUUUCAUAUAAUUCAUCCUCUUGACCAAAAUGAUCAUAGGACACCCUAGGGUUCAACUAUCAACUCUGAUCAGGUUGUCCACAUUGUAUUUCAAAAUAUCAAAUCCAUCUGAUGGAUUACCCUGGCCAAAGUUUUGCUAAAUUAAAAUACAACGACUCAUUCUUCUCCAACUC
Molecule: long non-coding RNA, 252 nt
Filed under: Elaeis guineensis (African oil palm)
Lineage: Eukaryota; Viridiplantae; Streptophyta; Magnoliopsida; Arecales; Arecaceae
Description: long non-coding RNA (EGUI_LNC076545)
Source: RNAcentral